UACAGAGGUCUCAAGCGUUGUUCGGAUUCAUUGGGCGUAAAGGGUGCGUAGGCGGCGCGGUAAGUCGGGUGUGAAAUCUUGGAGCUUAACUCCGAAACUGCAUUCGAUACUGCCGUGCUUGAGGACUGGAGAGGAGACUGGAAUUUACGGUGUAGCUGGUGAAAUGCGUAGAUAUCGUAAGGAAGACCAGGUGGCGAAGGCGGGUCUCUGGACAG
RNAcentral lists this ribosomal RNA (215 nucleotides) under uncultured bacterium. RNAcentral describes it as "partial 16S ribosomal RNA". It matches the Rfam family "Bacterial small subunit ribosomal RNA", at positions 524 to 736 of the family's 1533-position model. The record is from RNAcentral.